AUGAAUCAAGGUCCUUCUAAUCUCCUAGGAUCCCAUCAUCCGUUCACGCGCCCGAGCCGACUAGGUUCGCCGUUCGCGUCGGCCACGCCGACGCCCGUACGUCUCGCAAAGCUCACCACAUGCCACCCACGUCGCCACGCCGCCGCCGCGCGCGCUCUCUACGCGUCAACCACGACCAGGAAGAGCCCGAGACGCCCCGCCUCGCGCGCGGGCGCAUGUGCCGGCCGGCGAGCGCGUGCAUGGGCGCGAGCUCGCUCGGUCGGUCGAUCGGGCACGUCGCGCACCCCAGCCCCGUGGCCUCCGGGUGCCGCCGGCCGCGGGAGGCAGCAGCCGCCGAUCGGUGACAAGGACAAAGGGGACAAGGCGAGCAGAAAUCAUGUGCCAACUUUCUGGCGCCCUUUCCCGUUGAAGAAUAGAAAGGUCACCGUGGGAUCCAGGCCGCCGUUUGUGCGCUGA
RNAcentral lists this ribosomal RNA (456 nucleotides) under Triticum aestivum (bread wheat). RNAcentral describes it as "partial small subunit ribosomal RNA". Lineage: Eukaryota; Viridiplantae; Streptophyta; Magnoliopsida; Poales; Poaceae. The record is from RNAcentral.